Molecule: ribosomal RNA, 460 nt
Filed under: uncultured bacterium
Lineage: Bacteria
Description: partial 16S ribosomal RNA
Rfam family: Bacterial small subunit ribosomal RNA
Source: RNAcentral
CCUACGGGGGGCAGCAGUGAGGAAUAUUGGUCAAUGGACGAGAGUCUGAACCAGCCAAGUAGCGUGAAGGAUGACUGCCCUAUGGGUUGUAAACUUCUUUUAUAUGGGAAUAAAAUGUUCCACGUGUGGGUUUUUGUAUGUACCAUAUGAAUAAGGAUCGGCUAACUCCGUGCCAGCAGCCGCGGUAAGACGGAGGAUCCGAGCGUUAUCCGGAUUUAUUGGGUUUAAAGGGAGCGUAGGUGGAUGGUUAAGUCAGUUGUGAAAGUUUGCGGCUCAACCGUAAAAUUGCAGUUGAAACUGGCAGUCUUGAGUACAGUAGAGGUAGGCGGAAUGCGUGGUGUAGCGGUGAAAUGCUUAGAGAUCACGAAGAACUCCGAUUGCGAAGGCAGCUCACUGGACUGCAACUGACACUGAGGCUCGAAAGUGUGGGUAUCAAACAGGAUUAGAUACCCUGGUAGUC